RNAcentral lists this long non-coding RNA (638 nucleotides) under Serinus canaria (Common canary). Its description in RNAcentral is "lncRNA (ENSSCAG00000015079.1)". The record is from RNAcentral. Lineage: Eukaryota; Metazoa; Chordata; Aves; Passeriformes; Fringillidae.
CGCUGCGCUACGGCGAUGGCGCCGGCAGGGUUGGCUUCUCCGACUUCGUGUGCUGCAUGCUGCGCCUCGACACCAUGAGCCAUGCAUUCCAAAACUUGGCAGAGGGCAGAUCACAAAUUUUGAUGACAGCAAUGGAGUGGCUGACCCUUGUCAUGUACACCUAGAGAGAUGCCAGAGGUCAUGGUGACUUUUCUUCCUCCUCAGCAGAGCAGUGUCCAAGGCCAUCCCAUACAAAAGCCAUCCAUGGAGUUCUUGAAACACCACCGUGAAGGAGUGAAGCCAGGUGUCCUCAUGCUUGGAGGUACUCCAGGCUGCUGGGAUGAAGAGUCCUUUCCAGGCAAACUGGAGGUGCUUGGAGAGGGAAGAAUUGCUAAUGAAAGUACUCCAUGGGCAAGCUGGAAGUGUUGACUGUGAUCCCCUCUCAUCUUCCUGUAAAUGGUACAGAAGUCAGGGACAGCUCCAUUAACUCCACUAUGAAAAAGAAGAGACCCAAGCCUUUCAUGUGAAAGGAGUGUAUAAGAUGUAGAUUACAAAAACAAUUAAGAGACAGUUUUAUUUUAAUUAUUUCUUCAUUUUCUUCUCUGCCAUUUGUAAGUGCCAGAAAAUGGUUGAAGAAAUUAGUCCUAAUUGAUAAAUAG